This is a non-coding RNA of Schistosoma haematobium, 49 nucleotides long. NCBI's taxonomy places the organism in Eukaryota, Metazoa, Platyhelminthes, Trematoda, Strigeidida, Schistosomatidae. The record is from Rfam.
AUCCAGCAGACGAGUUCUAUAAUAGGACGAAACGUGCGUCAAACUGAAU